UACGGGGGGAGCAAGCGUUGUUCGGAUUUACUGGGCGUAAAGGGCGCGUAGGCGGCGCAACAAGUCACUUGUGAAAUCUCCGGGCUUAACUCGGAGCGGCCAAGUGAUACUGUCGUGCUAGAGUGCGGAAGGGGCUACUGGAAUUCUCGGUGUAGCGGUGAAAUGCGUAGAUAUCGAGAGGAACACCUGCGGCGAAGGCGGGUAGCUGGGCCGACACUGACGCUGAGGCGCGAAAGCUAGGGGAGCAAACGGG
This 253-nucleotide ribosomal RNA is filed under the name uncultured bacterium. RNAcentral's name for it is "partial 16S ribosomal RNA". It matches the Rfam family "Bacterial small subunit ribosomal RNA", at positions 524 to 776 of the family's 1533-position model. The record is from RNAcentral.